UACAGAGGGUGCAAGCGUUAAUCGGAAUUACUGGGCGUAAAGGGUGCGUAGGCGGUUUGAUAAGUUGGUUGUGAAAGUCCUGGGCUUAACCUGGGAAUUGCGACUAAUACUGUCGAGCUAGAGUACUGUAGAGGAAGGUGGAAUUUCCGGUGUAGCGGUGAAAUGCGUAGAUAUCGGAAGGAACACCAGUGGCGAAGGCGACCUUCUGGACAGAUACUGACGCUGAGGCACGAAAGCAUGGGGAGCAAACAGG
This 253-nucleotide ribosomal RNA is filed under the name uncultured bacterium. RNAcentral describes it as "partial 16S ribosomal RNA". It matches the Rfam family "Bacterial small subunit ribosomal RNA", at positions 524 to 776 of the family's 1533-position model. The record is from RNAcentral.